AUGUGUGCUGAAUACCUUCUCAGGCAGGCUGAAUUAGAGAUGGCAUACAUGGCUGAAGGAACUGCUACUGGAAAGAUGAAUUAUGUCACAUGGGAUGAUGAGAUGGGCAUUGCCAUGCUUGAGGUACUUGUUCAUCAUCACAACAUGGGUGACCAUUCACAAAAUGGAUGGAAAGCACAUGUGUACAUUGUAGCUAUCAAGAAUGUGAAGAAGAAGUGCAAUAAGGAUAUCGCGAAGGACAACAUAUUAGGAAGGCUUAGGACUUUUGACAAGCAAUUUGAAGUCAUUAACAAGAUCCUUUCUCAAAGCGGUUUUGGAUGGGAUUGGGUCAAUCAUAAGCUAUCCAUUGAUAGCGACGAUGUGUGGACUAAAUAUUUGGAGGCUAAUAAGAAAGAGAAAGCAUUAGCUUCCUACAAGACCAAAGUAGUGAAGCACUAG
RNAcentral lists this ribosomal RNA (438 nucleotides) under Triticum aestivum (bread wheat). Its description in RNAcentral is "partial small subunit ribosomal RNA". The record is from RNAcentral. Lineage: Eukaryota; Viridiplantae; Streptophyta; Magnoliopsida; Poales; Poaceae.